This 446-nucleotide ribosomal RNA is filed under the name uncultured bacterium. Its description in RNAcentral is "partial 16S ribosomal RNA". It matches the Rfam family "Bacterial small subunit ribosomal RNA", at positions 338 to 795 of the family's 1533-position model. The record is from RNAcentral.
CCUACGGGAGGCAGCAGUCGAGAAUCAUUCACAAUGGGGGAAACCCUGAUGGUGCGACGCCGCGUGGGGGAAUGAAGGUCUUCGGAUUGUAAACCCCUGUCAUGUGGGAGCAAAUUAAAAAGAUAGUACCACAAGAGGAAGAGACGGCUAACUCUGUGCCAGCAGCCGCGGUAAUACAGAGGUCUCAAGCGUUGUUCGGAAUCACUGGGCGUAAAGCGUGCGUAGGCUGUUUCGUAAGUCGUGUGUGAAAGGCGCGGGCUCAACCCGCGGACGGCACAUGAUACUGCGAGACGAGAGGAAUGGAGGGGGAACCGGAAUUCUCGGUGUAGCAGUGAAAUGCGUAGAUAUCGAGAGGAACACUCGUGGCGAAGGCGGGUUCCUGGACAUUAACUGACGCUGAGGCACGAAGGCCAGGGGAGCGAAAGGGAUUAGAUACCCCAGUAGUC